RNAcentral lists this ribosomal RNA (499 nucleotides) under uncultured bacterium. Its description in RNAcentral is "bacterial SSU rRNA". It matches the Rfam family "Bacterial small subunit ribosomal RNA", at positions 378 to 896 of the family's 1533-position model. The record is from RNAcentral.
AAACCCUGAAGCAGCAACGCCGCGUGAGGGAUGAAGGCCUUCGGGUUGUAAACCUCUUUUGUCAGGGACGAUGAUGACGGUACCUGGCGAAUAAGCCACGGCUAACUACGUGCCAGCAGCCGCGGUAAUACGUAGGUGGCAAGCGUUGUCCGGAUUUACUGGGCGUAAAGAGCGCGCAGGCGGUCUUGUAAGUCGAAUGUGAAAGCCCCUGGCUCAACCAGGGAGGGUCAUUCGAUACUGCUUGACUCGAAGGCAGGAGAGGGAAGUGGAAUUCCGGGUGUAGUGGUGAAAUGCGUAGAUAUCCGGAGGAACACCAGUGGCGAAGGCGACUUUCUGGCCUGUUCUUGACGCUGAGGCGCGAAAGCUAGGGGAGCAAACGGGAUUAGAUACCCCGGUAGUCCUAGCGGUAAACGAUGUACACUUGGUGUGAGCGCGAUCUGCGUUUGUGCCGAAGUUAACGCAAUAAGUGUACCGCCUGGGGAGUACGGUCGCAAGGCUG